UUAGUAAUUUAUCUUAAUGUGUCAUUAAUAGAUAAACAAUCUAAUUAAUAUAAUAAUAAUACGAAAGGUUAGAAAUUCAACGUUAAUUUUUAAUAAUGAUAAUAAUGGGGGCGUGUUAGAUCAUAGAAGCUGCUGGCGCUUUUCUUCCUGAACUUCAAUAACACGCAGGAAGAUUACGAACUUGUGUUUAACAAUUAAUUUGAAUUGUUAAAAAAAUAAACACAAUUUAAUUUAUUACUUGUGGAGUAAAGCGUGGAUGAUGGAAGACCUCCAGUAAAUCGCACUAAAACGGGCAGUAGAAGGGACCAACCAGCUUCGACUAACACCAAACUUAGAUUUUAAUUUGUACGUGGACAAAGAUUUACAGGAAUUGUCUUCAUGUGGCACUGAUCCUCGUAUGGAAAAAGAAUUGAAGAGUCCAUAGAAAUCUCCAGUGGCUGUAGUAGUUGCAUUCUUUAUAUGUUGGGCUCCGUUUCACGCUCAGAGAUUAAUGGCCAUAUACGUAAAAAAUCCAACUCCAACCGAUGAAAUUGUGUACAUGGUUCUAACCUAUAUC
Molecule: unclassified non-coding RNA, 556 nt
Filed under: Centruroides sculpturatus (bark scorpion)
Lineage: Eukaryota; Metazoa; Arthropoda; Arachnida; Scorpiones; Buthidae
Description: pyrokinin-1 receptor-like, transcript variant X3
Source: RNAcentral